AUACGGAGGGUGCAAGCGUUAUUCGGAAUUAUUGGGCGUAAAGGGCGCGUAGGCGGCCAGCCAAGUCAGGGGUGAAAGGCCUGGGCUCAACCCGGGAACUGCCUUUGAAACUGAAGGUCUAGAGACCGAGAGAGGAUAGCGGAAUUCCCAGUGUAGAGGUGAAAUUCGUAGAUAUUGGGAAGAACACCAGUGGCGAAGGCGGCUAUCUGGCUCGGUACUGACGCUGAGGCGCGAAAGCGUGGGGAGCAAACAGGAUUAGAAACCCCGGUAGUCC
This 274-nucleotide ribosomal RNA is filed under the name uncultured bacterium. Its description in RNAcentral is "partial 16S ribosomal RNA". It matches the Rfam family "Bacterial small subunit ribosomal RNA", at positions 523 to 796 of the family's 1533-position model. The record is from RNAcentral.